CUACCUAGCGUAGACACGUUGAAUGGACCAUUUCCCACGGAUCACUGAAAUUAAGCAACGUUGCACGUGGUUAGUAAAUGGGUGGUGACCAUAUCAGGAAUCGUGCUGCUGGGUUCC
RNAcentral lists this ribosomal RNA (117 nucleotides) under Diaphorina citri (Asian citrus psyllid). Lineage: Eukaryota; Metazoa; Arthropoda; Insecta; Hemiptera; Psyllidae. The record is from RNAcentral.